UGGCCUUACUGAUAGACAUAGUACAACUACUCCCCUGUUGUCUUUAUGCUUACUCAUUACGCGCCACCUUCUUUGGUAUUGAUCGCGGGCCCUUCAUCGCCGUAGAUUGGAUCUUUCUCAAACCACUUUACUCCCUUCACCGUCUUCCAAGCAUCCUUCUUCUCCCCAUCUUGGCCUGUACACAUAUCCCAGUUCAUCGCUCCGACCGGAUAACUUCCUACCAUACUAAACCCUCCCUUAUCCUCGAUCAUCGCGUGAGCAACUCCGGAAGGGACUAGCAUGGCAUCCCCCUUCUCCACAUCAAUUUCGGCUCUGCCCUUGUUCCCUUCAUCCCUUGGCCCGCCAAAGCAGAGGGUCCCGGCACCCGCGACGACGACGAGCAGUUCGUGAGUGUUGGAAUGAUAGUGGUGCUGUCGAUACAUCGGGAAUCGCCAUGCGGGUUUAACGACUCCGACGGAGGAAAGAUGUGUCUCCACUUGCUCUGCAGUGAGAGAAGAUGGAUAGGCAGAGUGGUAGAUAAUAAGGGGAUAGCGAUGAAGUGUGGUGUUGGGGAAGUUUUGGUAGGAGGGUAUUUGUUUCUUGGUGACCCGGAGAGUCGAUAAAGGAUUGGGAGUGAGUGGUGACAUGGUAUGUUAGAUGUCCUGUAUGUUGGAAAUCUGUAUCGUUUGAUAGGGUGUUACUAUACAAUAGCACUAGGUUGUUACAAAAUACAAGGACAGCUGGUUGUUUUAUCGCUGAACAAGUUUGCUGUGGGGUGGGGAGCGAGCGAGGAAGAGUGCUUAGUGUGCUUAUAAUAUUAUCUCUUUGACGUCAUGGAUAUUUCUUCG
Molecule: small RNA, 827 nt
Filed under: Cryptococcus neoformans H99
Lineage: Eukaryota; Fungi; Basidiomycota; Tremellomycetes; Tremellales; Cryptococcaceae
Description: Cryptococcus neoformans var. grubii H99 hypothetical RNA
Source: RNAcentral